AGUUGGGAGGCGGGUAGCUGUUCAAACCACCUUGGUAUCAGAAGCAGCCUGGGAAUCGGGAGGCAGGAAGAGGGCUCAGUUGAAUGUCCGGUAGAUAUAUGCUAGAAUAAAGCUCUCUCCUGCUCUUUAGGUUUGUAUUUAUAUACAAUUAUGAGCAAAUGCACACUGAAACUGGAAACUGGGUGACUGUCAGGUAAGAUUACUGAAGGGGCAGCCAAGAGCAAACAACAACAGAAAAAACUCUACUGAGUUGUCUUGGCAUUUUGAACUUACAUGAAGGCUUUAAGUUGCAUAGAAAUAUUCACUGGUGUUCUUGUAAAAAGGGUUUUGUGCAGCAACAAAGCCUUUUUUCACCUCAUACAUCAAACAGUCUGUUAGCAUUUUAGCAAUGUGAUAACUCUUAAUUUGUGGGGGGUGGGACUAACAUAGCAACACGGGACACAGGUGGCACUGUGGUCUAAACCACAGAGCCUAGGGCUUGCCGAUCAGAAGGUCGGCGGUUCGAAUCCCCGCGAACCUAGCAGUUUGAAAGCACGUCAAAGUGCAAGUAGAUAAAUAGGUACUGCUCUGGCGGGAAGGUAAAAGGUGUUUCCGUGCGCUGCUCUGGUUCACCAGAAGCAGCUUAGUCAUGCUGGCCACAUGAUCCAGAAGCUGCCUGCAGACAAAUGCCGGCUCCCUCAGCCAGUAAAGUGAGAUGAGCGCCGCAACCCCAGAGUCGUUCGCGACUGGACUUAACUGACUGGGGUCCCUUUACCUUUAACCUAACAACAACUGUGUACUUCUGGGCUGCAAAGCUUGCUUGAUGCCCAUGCCUUGGUCACAUGAAUGAAGUAAAACAGUACCAAUAUAUUAAGGAAGUGACUGGGCCUAUCUGCUCUCAUUUUGCUUCUAUAAAAAGUUUUUUAGAAAUAAUUUCUAAAAAAACCUUUUUGUUCCUCCUGACAUCCCAAAACAAAAUAUUUAUUUCUAUUCUGAGCCAUUCAGAAAAAAAUGAAUGAAAAACUCGCCUUGGUCUAGAUCGGUAAACAACAAAUGCAAAGUGAGUGAGGAAUUUAAUAGCAAACAAGGCCCAUACAAGCCAUAGUAUGGGAGAGGGCAGGAAGCUCAUAACUAAAAUUUCUGUAUUCACCUGCAGCCUGAGCCUGCUAAAAAAUUUUACAGGGAAGGCUCCUGUGCCUUUAACUGCUGCUUGACAGGCAGAAAUUCAGCAGGUGAGGCUUUAACCAUCGCUGCAUCUGUAUGUCCAAAAUGUUUCAUUUGCAAAUUUUUUGGCUACAUUUUAACAUCUCUAUCCAGGAGUUAGUAGGCUAAUGCUUGGGAGACGGGACUCUUACUUUUGAUGUGGCUAUUGAGCAGAAAGUAAAAGCGCAGUGGAGCACACCGCGUUCAAUUAAAGAAACAGAAAGAGAGAUUUUCAUACGCAAUCAAAAAAUAUUUCAGCACAGCUGACAAAGUGCCAUAGAAUGUGACUUUGCAGUGAGACUGUGCUGCCACCUGCUGGAGCAAAUAAAUCACUACACCAACAGGCACCUGCUGAAAUUGAAAAAAGGCAGAGCCAAAAGUGCUGUCCGAGCAACAGGCUCUGAAAUUACACCCAUUUCGUAAACAGUGGAAGAAAUGUGUCAGCUUUGCCUUGACUGGUGCAUUCUGACUGGUGAACCUGAAUGCGUCUGGCUGAGCAGACGGGGAUUGCUUCUCUCCUGAUCCGACCAGCUCAGAGUCGUGGGCUCACAAGACAUGUGAGGGCAUCCACGUGCGAGACAACCUACACAUAUAACUGUACAUGGAGCUCUCUGAGGAAUGCCUGGAGCGCAGUCCGAGGAGCUACCCAGAGUUUUUUGCUCAUGAGAUUCUGAAAAGAUGUGCAUGGGGGGGGGGGGAGAUUGGAGACUGAAGAAAGGGAGGAGUGGGAAGGACACACAGGCGUGCGCUCCUAACCACUGAGAUCCAAACAGGUCAGAUCUCCAGUGAGGGAAAAUACUAACAGGGACGGUUUCCAUAUGUUACAAGAAGCUAAGGUGCGGACAGAGUUUCUCACACCUGCCCUGGUCAACCAGCUGGGUGCCAUAUUGGGGGAGGGAAAUUCAAAAUCGGGGGGGGGGGAGUAAUGAAAUUUAAAAAUCGGGUGUGUGGGUAAACUUACUGUUAAACCAAGAGCCUCACCCAAACAUAUAGAGCAGCCUGAAACAGGGCAUCCAAGUGCAAAUGUAAUCCCACGUGCACUACCAGCAGCCCUUGUCACUGGUGCCCACUCCAGGGGGCCCUGGGCGCCUGGACUCUCACAAAUUUUUGUUGUGGGUGCCUGGCCCCCAGCUCCACAACCUGCCGCUGCCACUGCCAAACACCACUGCCACCUGGCAGUUGCCCCCUGCCAGUGAGCGCUACUGCCGCCCGAGCUUUGCCCCCCUACCACCGCCUUACCCCUUGUGCUUAGGCAGAGGCUCAGACCCUGGUCCAGAUGCUGUGGCGGCGCUGGAGCAUGGCACAACGCGGCACCCACGCAGUGGGCACCCACGGUGUGGGGCCCAAGUGGGCACCAACGGCCCUUGUUAUGGGGGGAAUUAUGGCACCUGGGGUGGAAUGGUUGUGAGGUAGGGGAGGAACGCACCAGCUUCCCUAACCCACUGUGCAGUUGCCUCUGGCCCACAUGCUUCCUUUAAAGAGGCAGGCAAAACACCUGAAACUGGUUCACAGUUUCUCUCUAGCUACACAGUUUGAGGAUGCAAGUGUAGGCUUCCAGCUCUGUCACACUCCCUGGAAAUGGGGUUGGCUGUUGGAUAUGUGCAGCUGUGUGGGUGAAGGCAGCCACUACUCCCCCCCCCACUCCAUACUUCUCACUUUCCUCCUCUCCAUACUGUCCUCAGUCUCUUUGUUUUCUGUACAGUCUUCAAAUCCUCCAGAAUCUCCUGCAUCAAGAAGGGUAGUAUUUCAGGCAGCCCACAGGGCACCACAUCCCACAGGAUUGCAUGCAAAUCGAAGCCUUUCUCAUGCAGGCUGACAGAUGUGACUCCACUCCUCAAUGUGCAUGGUGUGCUUGUGUGAACACCCUUUUCUACGAGCCUGAUCCAAGUCCUAUCUCCUUAGGCAAGCCACUGUCUCCCAACCUCAGUCUGGAGACAGUACCACACUAUUCUGCCUUGGUCAGAACACCUGGAAUCACCAAGUCCAGUUCUGGGCACCACAAUUUAAGAAGUGUAUUUGCAAGCUGUUUGCAGAAGAGGGCAAGCAAGAUGAUCAAGGGUCUGUCUUAUGAGAAACAGUUAAGGGAGCUGGGUAUGUUUAGCCUGGAGAAGAGAAUACUGAGAGGAGAUAUGACUGUCCUCUUCAAAUAUCUAAAGGGUGUCCGCAGGUUAGGGCACCAAGGACACAUUUUAUCAUCUAUCGUGAAAUGUGGGGUUUGCACCGCCAAAUGUUGUAGGGACCAAUUUGCAGGUGUUUGGCACCCUUUGUGAGUGAAUCGGACGUUGAGUAUUUGGCGAAACCGUGACCCCGCGGGUUAGUGCGCCUACAGUUUCAAACAACAAGCGUUAAUUCCAGAUGUAAGUUCAUCACUCCUGUCUGCACUGUCAACUCACAAACCUGAACUUUCAUUUACUCCAGAUGGUGAGGAACAGGGGUCCCUCAGGCAUUGAUCCUUGGUAAGUAUAGCAAGUAUUGUUUUAUUUAUUUUUAAUAUGUAUUUCCUAAUUUCAGCAGAACUCAUCUCAGGGUGGGAUACAACAUCAUUACAGAUCCCAAAAACAUAUCGAUCACAUUCAAACCACCACAAACCAGACUUCUGUUAAGUGGAAGAACAACCAUAAUUAAAACUACAUAUACUUAAAAAUAACUGAUGCUUAACAGGCACAAAGCAGACCACUACUAGUCUAUGAAUGCCCGGGCAAAAUGAGAGUUUUUUACUUGGUGCCAAAAUGAAAGUCAUGGUGAAGUGUACCAAGAGCGUCCCUUUUCUCAUUUCUAAAUACAGAAACGUAUGCAUUAGAACAGCCUUUGACAUCCUGGUGCCGGCUAUGCUGGAUGGAGCGAGUGGCAGCCCAAAAUAUAUGGAGGGCACCAGGUUGGCAGAGGUUGCAUUAGGAGGUGACUGUAUUUAUUCCCAUGAAGAACUUGGGACCUGCAUCAAGCUUUUGCUAAAGGCACAAAUCAGACCAGGCUGUGGUCAGUUGGCCUGCCACCGCCCACCUCUUCGGUCCUGGAGCAUCUCUCCUUUUUAACACAGAAAACUGAAGUAUGUAAUUCUUAAUGAGUACUUAGAGAGCAGGAUUGCUCAAGUGAUAAUGGCUGUUUGAGGGCAAAUAAAGAUACAACUGCCCACAUCACUAUUAUAACAUGCUCCCAGGAGGUCCAGAAGUAAUUCAUCUGUCAAGGAAAGGGCUUUUAAAGGAGAGAAGAAAUCAAUGACCUAAGAGCCUUGUAUGUAGUCAAAUCAUCUGUGACUAAUCUUGUUCAUUACGAUUGUCUCUAUGAGUUACUGUCAUAGCAGGAAACUGCGGGGGGGGUGGGGGGUGGGCAGGGCGGGAGGAAUGUGUAAAGGCUGGCUAAUAUCCAGCAAUUUAAUGUUCCUGGGAACUUGAAGCAAGUCUCAAAAUAAGCAACCAGCAAAGGGGAUAAGUAAGACCUGCAGACAGAAAAUUUGUUGAAUGCCCAGCAGUCUUUGGGGCUAGUGGGGUGUGGGUUGUGGUGAUGGCAGCACUGUGAUGCAAAAUGGCAAACAACAAUAGAGCUAGAGACAAUCUUGUAUAUUUAAAGUGAUAUGUGUUAUUAAAUAACUCUUAACGAAACCACUUUUAAUUUUAGUAAUAAAUAAGUGCCAAUGCACAUCUGCCAAAUCUGUGGGAGGAAAAUACGAAUCCCUGUGAUCCACAUGUGUGGGGUAAAUAACAACCGCCCAAAAAUGGCUGGGUGCCUCGAUUCAAAGAACACUCUUCAGUAGGGGAGAGUCCCCAGUAGAAGAGUUUUAACUCACAAAGGUCAAGCAGCAGCAUAGUGUGGGCAUGUUGGUUAUUAAACCCUUUUCAUAUCCCACUUGGUUGUGUACAGCACCCCUCUUUCUACCCCUCUUGCAAUGAACAGACCACACACUGUUAAGUAAGUUUAAAAUACUUUACUUACAAAAGUCUCAAAGGUCGGGUUCAUGCAUUUAUCCAAGCAGCAGCAAGGAGAACCCAGGAAGAAUACUCUUGGGUAGAAAAUACAAAAAGAUUGCUUCAAACACAUGCUCUAAGCUUGGAGCUUACUUGGGCACAUCUUCCUUGGUCAGUUACAUUGCACGAAGAAAGAGGGAACAGGAAGAGAAGGCUUUGCUUCCUCCCUCAUCAGAAAAAAGGGGGCAUGACCUGAGCCUAGGAAUUUAACUCUAUGGUCUUAACCCAUUCAUAAACUAACUAGUACUCAUGCAUAGUUAUGUUUGACUGCAAUUUCCCACAAAAUCACCCUGAUGCCUUUGGAAGCACUGACCAAAACAUUUAUUUCUUAGUGAACAACUGAGUAGCUAUACCACCUGAAGAUGUCCCUUAUAUCCGCAUAAAUGAAAGGGUUGGCCCGUCACUGUUGAACAUCUUGGAUGCUUAUACCAACUCCCUAGGAUGCCAACGCCUCAUUAAGUGUGGCUUGGAAGGUCAGGUCCUUCUUUGUGAAAAGGCGCCAUUGCAGUUCCUUGUCGCGUAAGCCACACACAAACCAGCCAUGGAGCAAAGUCUCCAGAUCAAGGAAACGGCAAAGGCAAAAGCCACAAUGAAAGCCGCCACUAAUUUGGUUGGAGCUUGAUCCAUUUGCUGGUGGGCUAUUUCUGAUGCUUGUAGUGGAAAGUGUUCUUGUAGUUUCUCCAUUAUGUCCUUGAAUGAACCCCGGGUCGGUGACCUUAUUGGCUGCGACACAGAACUCUAGCUUGGUAGCAUGUAAGUCCCAUUUUCCCGGGACCGUUCUGUCAAAUUCAUCAAUGUGGCCCUGUGCGGCCAUAACGUUCUGCCCUGAGCGCACCUUGGCAACGGCCAGAAUUGAACCAAGGCAGUGGUCUCGCCCUCAAUAGUGGUUUCAGCUCUGUCUAGCCUACCCAUCCUGACGUCCCACCUUCAUUGCUAGUAAAGUGUACUUGGGUUUCUAUGAGGCAAGACAUUGUGAUUACAGCAAGAGACUUUAUUGAGCUAACAGAACAGAACAGUCAAACCGGGGCAAAGCAACUAUUUCUGAAGGCCUGAGCCACUCCCACUCUCAACAUGACUGGCCGUCUAAACCUCCAAGAGCUUAAGAGCCAAUGCCAGUAGCCCAAACACUGGAAAUAAUACAUGAUUGGAUAUCAUGUAUCGAAUCAGAACACAGGACUCAGAAUCCUAGUCCAGACUCAAGCUCAGAUGAACACAGACCAUCGCAUACAUAACAGUUGGCUCUGCAAAUCUGCUCUCACCUGAAUACAAGUUGAUGCUGAGGCAUACAAGACACACAUCUGUUGUCUAGAUUCUCUAGCUACUUACUGUAUUUACUCAAAUGUAAUACGUACCUUUUCCAGCCAAAUUACGUCGUGAAAAUUAGGGUGCGCAUUAGAUUUGAUGGCGCAUUUACAUUCACCAGCAAAUACUUUUUUUGUUUCAAGGUUUUGCAAACUGAGGUGUGCAUUAGAUUCAGUGUUGCAUUAGAUUCGCAUAUAUGCAGUAAGUUCUGAUUUGACGGUUCUACCAUCUUUAGCUCUGUUGACAAAGCUAAGUAUGGAAGAUGAGCAGUGUCUGAAAGCUGUGAAAUCACUUGGAAGAAAACAGACAACCACCAUGUUGAGAUAAGAUAUAGCCAUGGCCAGCCCUACCACUAGGCAGAGUGAAGCAGCUGCCUCAGGUGGCAGAUGCUAGGCAGGGGUGGUGCAGGGAGUGGUGGCUAUCUGUCCUCUGGAGGGCAAUGUAUUUCCACCAGCAUCAAAAUAUGAUUAUAUUGCCUAUCUAUUCAACUUUUUAAAAUGAAAUGGGGGAGUCAUCCUGUCCUUCACCUCCUGCAGCAAAAUGUCUUGGGCUGAUUCUGGAAACAACCACCAAACACUACCAGUGAGGCAUCUGAUCAAGGCCUGUAUUUUAAAAUGAGCUUAAAGAUAUAUUUGCAAAUGUUUGUAUGUUUCAUGCCAGGCAGAAACCAGCUGGCUAAGUACUUUGGCAGUUGUUUAUCUUCCUGCUCUCCUGAACAAGGGCCCCCCUGAUUUAUAGCAGUAGCAGGAGACAAGUUUCUCAAAGUUGUAAAAGGAAAUUACAGGCUGGGAGCAAAUGUUACACUGACCCUACAUAUUACAGAAUACAAUCAAGCUGCAAAAACACUAAUUAAGAGUUGGUAAAUAGUAAGAUUUAUUGUUUAACAGAAAAUAAUACCAUGUGCCUCCCAUCAGACUCUAGCCAUAUUUUCCUAAGGUUUAAGGUAUACUGAGAGAGUUAAAGGGCAAUAAAUUUUGGGAAGAGCUAAUGGGAAAAGCAGCUGGCUGGGAAGGGGGGGGUGUAAACUGAAGAGGCUUCUUUUGAAGCUGUUUUUACUGAGUUCCUUUUUACUUUGCAAAGGCCUUUUCUUCUAAAAAGCUAUCUAUGUUAUGUAUGAGAUUUGUUGGCUUAAUGUAAUUAUGCAAAGGAUUUAGAAAGUAAGAAAUGUUAGAUUCUUAUGUUAGAUUCUUAUUUCAUUGAUGGUGUGUGAGAAUGUGAACCCAAGAUCUCUGUUUAGAUAGAAUUUAAUACCAUGAGCCAUUUGUUUUAGCCAUUUGUUUUGGAAUGCAGGGGCAACAGGGGCAAAAGGUGAUCUGGUAAUUAAGGUGCCUUGUCGAGGCAAAUGUAAGAUAUAUGGCUACUUGUCUGCCAUUUAUGGAUAGAAGGAAAUAUAGCUCUUUGUCUCCCAUAAAAGGUAAUAGGAAAUGGGUGUAUCUUUUAUGAUUGGUUCUAGCAAACAGCCAAUAGGAAUUUCAACCAGGCUGAUUGGACAGAGGCAGCCAAAGGAGGAGCAAGGGGGCUGGGCUGAGGAAAUAUAAGUGCUGGCCAUCAGGGCUGGAGGGGGCAGAGCUUUGGUAACCAUAUACCACUGUGCCUAUCAUUUAUUUGUCUGACAAAUAAAUUAUUAUUUUAAUUUCUCUAUUGCUGUGUUGAAUAUUUCAUUCCAGCUAAGCGUUAACCACAAGCAGGGUGCUACACCAGCAGGGCAAAAAUGACUAUGACCUACCCAAAUUCCUAGCUGCUGUGCUCACAAAUGACAUUCCUUCCCCUCCCUCUUGACUCCUCUCCUAGUAUGAAACCAUCUCUGCUUGGAAUUUUGCAGCGAAGUGUUUGUUUCAACCUCUUUUGUAAUCUACUGCCAUGAUAUAAGCUCUCCCCUUGGGUUUGGACUGUGUGCAUUUUUCAGAUUUCUUCUCUUUUCCUUUGUGGUGCCUGACCAUGUCAUGCACAGGGAGGGUCUUCUUUGAAUCCACAACUCCCCCCCCCCCCGCCCUCCUGCAAAGAGCUAGUAAAAUAAUUCUGCGUGCUGCCAAAGUGUUUGGCCCCAAGACAGCACCUGAGAUGAGGCAGAGGUAAACAAAUGGAGAUUGCUUCAGCCAGGAACAAAGAAGGCCCCUGUCAAAAUCCAGCAGAGGGAUUUGAUUUUGGGUGUUGCAACAAAGCGAGGGGAAGGUUUCCUGCCAAGCUAACAAUGCACUGUACUCUGCAAUUAAUACUCUUGGCUCCCUCCAAUUACCAUCUUCACAGACGCUUAUGAGAAACAGGUGUCUCCUUUGUUUCCCUUUAUUCCGCCUUUCUGGCGACACAAUUAAGAACAGGCCUCCUGACAACGAGGGCAGAGUCCCCUUUGUUGAAACUCCUCAACAGUGGUGAAGGUGGCAGCCAGCACAUGGACCCAAGAGUUGAGUCACUGCGCUCACAGCAGCCUCAAAGUGCGUCACUGGAACAGAACAAAGCUGCCACCACUUAAGAACCACAGUUCUGGGGACAGAAGGGGAAGGGACUUGUCUAAGGGUGCUCUUUAAAUCUGCUUCCAGAGGCAGCUCUUGAGGACUCUAUUCAACCGCCCUUUCUGCAUUGUGAACCCAGGCCCUGCUCUCCCCAUGAACAUUGAGGCCAAUCGGUGCUUUUCACUCCACUCUAAACCUCAGUUCACCCUUCUUUUACUUCUAACCAGGGGCACUACUUCCUUUCCCCAGUGAGGCUCCUGUGCUGGUUAACAGUUAGAAUAACAGCUGCUGCAGCAGCAGCUCAGAUAUAAGCCAUGCCAGAAACUAGGGGUGGUCUGGGACCUGAAAGGAAACCCUUGCUAAAAAGUCUUAUGUCAACCAGGAGGCAGUACUUCCUGACCACAGCUGUCAACUUUCCCCUUUUCUUGCGAGGAAUCCUAUUCGGAAUAAGGGAAUUUCCCUUUAAAAAAGGGAAAAGUUGACAGCUAUGUUCCUGACUGCCUCACCCUGGAACCACUGGGGAAAGUGCUUUUAGUGAUAAUGCAUGAAGAUCUAUCAACUGGGAUCUCUUAUUUCAGGGGUGAGGAACGCAGGUGGCGCUGUGGUCUAAACCACUGAGCCUCUUGGGCUUGCCGAUCAGAAGGUCAGCGGUUCGAAUCCCCGCAACGGGGUGAGCUCCCAUUGCUCUGUCCCUGCUCCUGCCAACCUAGCAGUUCAAAAGCACGUCAGAGUGCAAGUAGAUAAAUAGGUACCACUCCGGUGGGAAGGUAAACGCCGUUUCCGUGCGCUGCUCUAGUUUGACAGAAGCGGCUGAGUCAUGCUGGCCACAUGACCCAGAAGCUGUACGCCUGCUCCCUCGGCCAUUAAAGCAAGAUGAGCGCCGCAACCCCAGAGUUGUCCGCGACUGGACCUAAAGGUCAAGGGUACCUUUACCUUUACCUAUAUCAGGGGUGAGCAGCUGCGACUGCUCCCAUUUACCUCUCUUGCACUAUUGGUUUACAGACAUGAGCGCCUCAGUGGAUUCCCCUCUCUCCACUUGCCAGCACAGAGCACAGCCAGAAAGGGACCACCACUCAGUGACUGAGGUGGUAUGCCUAGCAUUGCGAAAGGUCCCAGGUUUAAUCUAAGUGUCUCCAGUUUAAGAAGAUCUGGAAGCAGGAUGAUGAGGAAAAUCCUUUUUAUGAGACUCUGGAGAGCCCCUGCCAGUUCUGAGACAGUCUAAGCUGGGGCAAUGCAGCUUCCUAUACAGUGGUACCUCAGGUUAAGUACUUACUUCGUUCUGGAGGUCUGUACUUAACCUGAAACUGUUCUUAACCUGAAGCACCGCUUUAGCUAAUGGGGCCUCCUGCUGCUGCAGCGCUGCCGGAGCACAAUUUCUGUUCUCAUCCUGAAGCAAAGUUCUUAACCUGAAGCAAUAUUUCUGGGUUAACAGAGUCUGUAACCUGAAGCGUAUGUAACCUGAAGCGUAUGUAACCCGAGGUACCACUGUAUUGCUAUGAAAUCAUUCAGCCAUGUGUUUCCAGCCCCAGAAAUGUGACGGGGUCCCUGGACUGCCUCCUCCCUUUCAAGUAAAUAAAUAAAAAUACUUAACUAACUGACUAAUUGGGUCACAGAUAACUCGGUUCUGCCCCCCCCCAACCUGACACCCCCCCCCCCCAAAAGAUCCUGGCUAUGCCCAUGACGGGCUCAUGUAAGAGAUGCCACCAUGUGUUGCUGAUUUAUGUGCAUAUAGGCUUUAAGAAUGCCACUGUCUCAGACAUUCCCACUGCCAGGCUAUGGGCACUGAGCACAGGCUGAGUUGUUUUCCAGUUGAAGUUAACUGAGACUUGCCGUGAGGGGGGCAGUCCUACGUCUGAGCCCAGAGUGAGGUUUCAAAAUAUACAAGAUGGCUCUUUUUAAUUCAGUCAAGAGCCCUGCAGUAUUUAUAAGCCACAUUUCAAUCUUGAAGCACUACCGGUAUCAUUCACAAAUGGAUGUACUCUAUCUGAAGUAGCUCAUUGAUCCUCUGCAUCCAAUAUUAUCAUCAUGGAUUUGUAUCAAUUUGUAACUUGGCGAAGUGCAAGAGUCCAGUCCUAUGCUUAGUCACUAGGAGCAUGGAGACUUUUCGAGCUUGUGAAACCUUCACUUUGUGAAAGUUUUGGUAGCUGGGAUGUGUCCUAAAGUGAUUUUCAAGGCAUAAAUGGGAGCUCAGUCUAACACUUAGUCAACACUAGGUCAUGCUACCUCUUAAUAUUUCUUUAAUAAAUGCCAAUAGAACAAUUCUCUAGCCUUUCAGCUCCAACCAAUUAAAAAAACAACAGAACUUCCCCUGCAGUGAGGCUCAGAGAACUCAAAAAUCUUGCCUCUCAGCCCAUCCUUCUCUAACCACUGCACAAGCUUUUCUUCCCAUGUGGCUCAUCAUCCAAAGUGAUUUAGGGACGAAGGAAGAACCUUGCAUGACUUGUUUUGUGGUAUCGUCUUCUCUUCCCUUCACAACCAAAGAUGAUAAGGCCCCCUCCAUAUCCCCAAAUCUGCAGGACUUAAGACACUGAAAUGUUUGUUCUAGUUAUUUCAAUAACUUUGACUAACUUCUCUUAAAAGCUUCUAAACUCUGUGAGGAUCCAAGAACGUAACGUGAUCUUUGAUCGAUACGAGUGUAAGCAGUUGUACCAAAUCUAUUGAUCCGUCAGACAUAUGAAAGGAUAUGCUGCCUUUUGGUCACAAGAAUCCCCAAGGAGACAACAGAAUAAAGCAUAUCUAUGGGCUACUUUUAAAAUGAGGCUGCAUUUUAAAUUGCAUUUUAACCUGUAUUUUAAAUUGGGUCCCCCCCCCCCAUUAUGUUUUUACUGUAAUUUUACUGGUGUCAGCCGCCCUGAGCCAGGCUCUGGCCAGGGAGAGCGGGGUAUAAAUAAAAUUUAUUAUUAUUAUUAUUAUUAUUAUUUGCAAAGCACACAAGAAAAGAAAAUGCAGAGAAGCGGAGAGCUAGAAACCAGAGCUAUUCUAAAGAAACCUUCUGCAACAGCAAGAAGAAAAUGAAUGGAACCCAAACACAUGGAGAAGUAACAGCAACUUUUCCUAAGGGCUGAGAGAAGGGGGAUUAGUUGGGCCCCCUACCCGCUGUCACAACCUUUGGGAAAUGCCCCUCCACCCUUUUGGGGAAAGAAUUCUACAUCAAGUUUGGAAACCGACUCCCUAGAAGUAACAACAUCUGCCAGUAGAGGGUACUCUUGUCUUCUAUUCAACAUCAAAGCGAACACAUAAGCUUCCCUUUCUGUCUCUCAGUCCAGGCAGCGGCUUCCUCCUUCCAGGGUUAUGAUACAGGCCCCAAAGGUGCCCAUUCAAAUUACGAAUCUUGAAGUGUCCUGUUUUCUUCUUGAAGGCCAGAUAAAGCCACUGUGUAAAGGUAAAGGUAAAGGGACCCCUGACCAUUAGGUCCAGUCGUGGCCGACUCUGGGGUUGCAGUGCUCAUCUCGCUUUAUUGGCUGAAGGAGCCGGUGUACAGCUUCUGGGUCAUGUGGCCAGCAUGAUUAAGCCACUUCUGGCGAACCAGAGCAGUGUACAGAAACGCCGUUUACCUUCCUGCCGGAGCAGUACCUAUUUAUCUACUUGCACUUUGACGUGCUUUCGAACUGCUAGGUUGGCAGGAGCAGGGACCGAGCAACGGGAGCUCACCCCAUUGCAGGGAUUCAAACCGCCGACCUUCUGAUCAGCAAGUCCUAGGCUCUGUGGUUUAACCCACAGCGCCACCCUCAUCUACUGUGUAAAUAACAUCAAACCACUGAAGAGGUGGGGUGCUCUGAGAAGCUCAUGUGUCUGGGGGGGGGGGGAGCUGCUGGCAUGUUCUACUGCCUGAGAACCUGCAGCUUCCUGCUUGUAUUUUAUUUUUUCCACUGCAAGGCUUCAAAACAUCUGCUCAAUUCCAAAAGAAUGCACAUUGUUUUCCAGCCACUAAUCUAAGGGUAAUAGGAAGCAGUUGAAAGGAUUAACAAAGUGCCGAUUAAAUAAUUCCCCCCCCCCACCGCUCCAACCCAUGACUGGGCAGGGUUCCAUGGAAUCCAUGUGCUUUGUUUCAGCAGAGGCUCCUUGAUGAGAAAGCACAAGCAAGGCAGCUUUGUCCCCGUGCAGAAUCCUGACAAUGCAAAGCUGUUGCAGAGAAGGCGCAGAGUUCGCUGUUGUGCAUGGCAGAAUCAUAGCCGUAGAAAGUUAAUUCCCAAUGUCCUUUCCCAACAGCAUAGAAGAAUGUAUUCUUCUGGUUUCUUCUAUCAUGUGGGUUAGAUGGCACGAUGGCAGAGGAGCUGGCAUUAGCAGACGGCCUCUCAUAUAUUAAAGAAGCAAUGGAUGCUCUCCGAGAAUGCUUUGCCCUGAAUGUGCUGAUAAUGUGCUGAAGAUGCUACAAAACCAAGAGGAGGAGAGGGAUUCAGAAUGGUCCAGAAUCUGGGCUUCAGAUAAUGUGGAGCACAGGAAAGCUGAAAACAUUUUACCCAUUGCCAGAGGGAGGGAGCGUGGGAAAACCCUAAUUUCACAUGGACAUUGAUGCAGCCUGAAUGGAAGUUUCCCCUAUAGAAGUUACUUCCAUUAAGACAGUGGUUCCCACCCUUUUUUUGACCAUGCCUCACCUAAGCAUCUCUAAAAUCCUGAUGCCCAUAGCUGUCAACAUUUCCCUUUUCUUGCGAGGAAUCCUAUUCGGAAUAAGCGAAUUUCCCUUUAAAAAAGGGAAACAUUGACAGCUAUGCUGAUGCCCCCUCCCGACAUAUAAUUCUUAUUAUUCAAAAAGCGAACUAUUCACGUGGAAGAAGCCAAAAAGGUCAUUAACUUGGUCUAACUCAUUCUCGAACUGCCCCCCUUAAAUAUCAAAUGGCCCCCCCUUAUGGGGCAGGUGCCCCACGUUGGUAACCGCAACAUUAAGAUGAACAGGAGCUGUGUAUGUAGUACGCUUGGACAGCUCUUAUCCAUUUCUCCGGGGAUUGUCCAGGCCAGUAUUCUCGUGGGCCCAAAACAUGCCUCCCUUAUUCAGUGGCCCUGAAUAAAAGCUAACACAAAUGAGCCACCUUCAUGGGAAGGUUGCGUCUGCAGGAAAAUUAGUUUCUAUUAUUCUUUGACAAUUUGAAGGCUGUGCUUCGCUGCCAGAGCAUCACUGAUCUGAACUGAAUGGCAAAGUCACCAACUGAAGAAGCCUAAAUCGUGCAUUCAGUCUCGUAGGCCAUCUACAUAAAAACCCCCACUUAAGACCUUCACAAACUUGUGCAGCUUGAAUUCUGAUUUUCAAGAGAAACAAAUAUUGCAGCUUGUUUUGUGAAUAGGUUUUUUUGUUCUCUUCUUUUUUUUUAAAAAAAAGGGUCUCUCUCUCUGUUUCAACACCAAACAAAAUGCAUGCGUUUCUGUACAACAAACCAAUUCAUCCUCUUCUUAUUUGUAUCACGUCCAUCGUGGCAUUUGUAAUCAGUUUUGCUCUUUAAAGAAUUGGCCGCCUGGUGAGGAAGCUUAUGUAAUACAACAGCUUCCUCUCAUACUCUGCCUAUUCCAAAAACAGCUAGACUGAUCAAAGAUAUCAACAAUGUUAAGAGCAGUCCCUGCUCGACUGGACCAAAGCCUUAGCUAGUUCAGUGACAACCAUAUGUCCCAGGAAGCUUACAAGCAAGACCCCAGCAUCUGGCUAUCCAGAGGUAUCUUGCCUCUGUAGUAAUGGAGCUUUCAUUUAGGCUUCGUGGCUAAUACCCGCUGAUAGACCUAACCAUCUGCAAAUCUCACUAAUCCUGUAUAAAAGCUGGCAUGACAGCUUGUGACAGCAAAUUCUUUAAGUCAGGUGAAGUUGUGUUGCUGGGAACUCCCAGCAGCCCCAGUCAGCCUGGCCCAAUGGCCAGCAAUUAUGGGAGCUGUAUUCCACAACACCUGUAGGGGCAACAGGUAUCCCACCCCGUUCCAAUAUAGUUCCGUUUUGGGAGAACGUAAGCAUGAUAUACACUGCCCAGAGUAAUGCUGACAAUAUCAUGGGAGAUUUGAGUCAAAAGAAGAGGCAGCAUCUAGCAGUUGCAGAACAGUGUGUCAGAACUGACAUGGCACUCUGUUUCUGCUCAUGCUAAAAACACAAGACACAUGAUCAUACCAGCUCCCCAACCUCCCAGUGCUGCUAGUGGGCUAUUCCCGUCCCCAAGUCACUGAGAGCCAGUCUCAUAGGAACCAGACAGAGCCACGAACCAGGAAAGACUUGCUUCGUAUCUCACUUCAAUAUAAUGAACUCACUAUGUGCUGUAAGCCGCCCAGAGUGGCUGGGGAAACCCAUCCAGUUGGGCGGGGGUAUAAAUAAUAAUAAUAAUAAUAAUAAUAAUAAUAAUAAUAAUAAUAAUAAAUAUAAUAGAGCUAAGGCAUGCUGCAGUUCUCAGACCCACAUCUGCAACAGGGCUUUUAUAAGCAUUAAGUUUGUGGCCUGGAUUCAGCUAAGUACAGUGGUAUCUCGGGUUACAUACGCUUCAGGUUACAGACUCCGCUAACCCAGAAAUAGUGCUUCAGGUUAAGAACUUUGCUUCAGGAUGAGAACAAAAAUUGUGCUCCAGCGGCACAGCAGAAUCAGGAGGCCCCAUUAGCUAAAGUGGUGCUUCAAGGUUACAAACAGUUUCAGGUUAAGAACGGACCUCUGGAACGAAUUAAGUACUUAACCUGAGGUACCACUGUAGUUUUGCAAGUGGCAGCCUGCACUAGGGCUUCUGCUAGUGCAACAAGCCUUUCCCUCCUCCUUUUCUCCCCCAAUUGGCCCAAUGCCCCAGGUGGUGGUGGGGAGGGCUCCCAGAACAGUGCACAGGGGAAGAGCAGGGCAGAUCACUCCAUCAAAGAAAUACAGAAAAGCUUGUGCUGACAGAGCAAUCUGCUUAGCGCUACGUUGAAUUCCUCCCUAUGUCUGUAUUUACUACUACUACUACUACUAAAACACUGUAGUAUGGCAUGCUCUUGUUCAGAGUUCCCGUCAGCCAGCCAGGUUUCUUCCUCAUCCCCCCACCCACCCUCAGGAGACCUUCAUUCUUUUCCACUGAUCUUCAGUCCCCCACCCUGCAAUGAGCUGUCAGUCAAAUUUCCAUGCCCGCUGAGCAUGCUCAGUCCUCAAUGGGCUAUUUGGGGGCUUCCCCUCCCUUAAUGACCCCCCCCCUGUAAAUAUUUGUGCCUGUGUGUGUGUUUCUGUAAACUUUGAGGUUUCUCCAAGCCUAUGGAUGAUAUACAGAUGGUGACAUUUUGGCUCCAUAAGGAUCCUACUGUAGGAUUAUUAUAUGGGAUGGUAGAAUUGUUAUUAAACAUUGAGCUAUAUGCAUCUCAUUCUGCUUAAGCACCACGUGCCUAAUCCAGACAUAAGGUGGGAGAGAGAAUUCCUCCAUGAUUUCUGGGUGAGAAUGUUUUUAUAUGCUGUGUUUUUCCAAGUAGCAACCCAAGCAGCCCAAGAGAGAAGCAUCAGAUAGCAGGCAUUUUGUGUCAUGCUUCCCUGGUUGAUAAAGGCACUUUGCAUUCCCAAAUGAUAAUUCCAAUGUGGGUGGCUCCUGACCCGCAAAUGCCAUGCCUUGCUUGCACCUAAGAAGGCUGCCACUUGCUGUUGAAUGGCAAAAUGCUGUUACUUGACAGCCCGACCAGGAACUGCCCGAUAUCUCCGUGAGCCAAUCAGAAUCACAUCAAACAAUUUCAAGCACCUCUUAAUAUAGGGAUGGAACUGGCAGUGACUGCCAGCUCAGUGAGUCACAGAAUAAUAGAAUCACAGAAUUGUAGAAUUGGAAGGGACCCCAAUGAUCAUCUAUUCCAACGCCCCGCCGUGCAGGAAUCCCAACUAAAGCAUCCAUGGCAGAUAACCAUCCAACAUCUGCUUAAAAAGGAAGGAGAGUCUGCCACUCUGUUCCACUGUCAAACAGCUCUUACUGUCAGAAAGUUCUUCCUGAUGUUGUGCCAGAAUCUCCUUUCUUGCAAGUUGAAGUCAUUGAUUUGGGUCCUACCCUCCAGAGCAGAAGAAAACAAGCUUGCUCCAUCUUUCAUGUGACAGUCCUUGAGAUAUCUGAAGAUCUAUAUCUCCUUUUAGUCUCUUUUUCUCCAGGCUACACAUACCCAACUCCCCCCUCCUCUGCACACAUUCCCGCUUGUCAAUGAGGACAUCUUAAAUAGUGGUGCCAAGAACUGGACACAGGACUUCAGGUGUAGUCUGAGCAAGGCAGAAUAGAGUGGGACUAUUAACCUUUCUUGAUUGGGACACUAGACUUACUUCAGUACUCAGAACACCUACAAGUCCCUCUCAAAAGUCCUCCACUCUGUUGCUCUCCCCUCAUGCAUCUUCUUCCCCGUCUGGGAAGCUGUUUUAUAAUAAAUCAUAUUAUUGGUCUGUCUAGCUAAGAGAUCUAGACAGGGCACUUUCUCAGUCCCACCUCAAAAGGCUGGUCACUGACCUUGGGACCAUUUGCAUGCAUAGCAUGGGCUCCAACACUGAACUAAGGUCCUUCCCAAAAUUCAUGCCCCAUGUUUUGCUAAGACUCAAAUCAUUUUUCUUCCAGUUACUUGACAAAAAAAAGUAAACACAGCACUGAAAAGGCGUACCGGAAAUGCUAUCAUUCUGAAGGCAAAGUCUCCAAGAAACACACACAUUGUGCAACUGUGUACACUUUUCAUAGCAUACAAAUUAAAUAACAGAAUUUUUCCAAAUGUACACCAGCUGCAGAACUUGAUUCUAGGCCUGGCUCUUGCAUAAUCUGGGAAUUUUUUUAAAGUUAAAAAACAGGGUCGCUGGGUCUGUAUGUGUGUGUCAAGUGUAGGCCGUGCGGUGCCCUGUAGAUUCUGUGGACUCCCAAUUACCAGGGAUGAUGACACCUAGAGUCCAACAACAUAUGGAAGGCAUCACAUUGUGUAUCCCACACAGUGUGCCACACAGGGAUGUGGUAGUGCAGCUGCCCCCACAAUAAACCCCAUCCCUUCAUACAGCCAACCAAAGUGGGCAGGGCCACAAUUUCGUGCACACCCAAGUAUGGUAAAUUACACAAAUUCAUGCACAACACACAUGUACAAAGCACACCAUACGAGGCUUUUUUAGGGAGAUAGCAUGUCUCGAAGCAUAUACAGAGCUGCUUUCCCCAUGACAGGAAACAUCUUUUUUUUUAAAAACACACCAAACCCUCCCCCAAAUAGCCCUGUCUUAUAACAACACCAGGUGCAGAACUGUUGCUUUUUUGGCUUUCCAUCCUCCUGCGCUCUAGCGACUGACCAGGAGGAAGGAACUGUGGCCCUUUGUGACCACGAUGGACAAGAGAGGUCAGUGGCCUUGGCAGCGGAAAACCCUCUUUCUGAGAACCAAGCAUGCCGUCCCCUUGAGGUGGAUGCGGCCUGACAGGUAAAGCCAGAGCUGCUGUUUGUCUUGUCACCACAAAGGUCAUGCCAUCGCCUUCCAAGGGUACAUCUUGCUGCCAUGAUUUAUUGAACAGGCCCUGCGGCUCUUGCUAAGCUCCCAGCAGUCAGCGGCUGACUCACUCUCUCCCCUCCCCUCCCCCUGCUCUUUCCCAGCCAGCUAUAUUCCCACCGACUCACUUGGCAAAGAAUCCUAGCUGAUCCUAAAGCGCACUGCCCUCCUUCUCCUUUUACCAGCAGGACCACUGCAAGGAAUUCCUGGGUCUGGAUAGCUGGGUUAGUGUCAAGAGGGCUUCGUGGAUUCUGCACACAAGCGAGACAAAAUCGUCCCAGGAUUGAGCUGGCACUCGGACUCAGGAAUUCUGGUGUGGCCCUUCAGCCUGGGGUGCUCCCCAGGCCAGCCGCCCUCUUCA
RNAcentral lists this long non-coding RNA (18645 nucleotides) under Podarcis lilfordi (Lilford's wall lizard). Lineage: Eukaryota; Metazoa; Chordata; Lepidosauria; Squamata; Lacertidae. The record is from RNAcentral.